Molecule: ribosomal RNA, 483 nt
Filed under: uncultured bacterium
Lineage: Bacteria
Description: partial 16S ribosomal RNA
Rfam family: Bacterial small subunit ribosomal RNA
Source: RNAcentral
GACGAACGCUGGCGGCGUGCUUAACACAUGCAAGUCGAACGCUGAAGCUCAGCUUUUGUUGGGUGGAUGAGUGGCGAGCGGGUGAGUAACACGUGAGUAACCUGCCCCCUUCUUUGGGAUAACGCCCGGAAACGGGUGCUAAUACUGGAUAUUCACUGGUCUUCGCAUGGGGGUUGGUGGAAAGGGUUUUUCUGGUGGGGGAUGGGCUCGCGGCCUAUCAGCUUGUUGGUGGGGUGAUGGCCUACCAAGGCUUUGACGGGUAGCCGGCCUGAGAGGGUGACCGGUCACAUUGGGACUGAGAUACGGCCCAGACUCCGACGGGAGGCAGCAGUGGGGAAUAUUGCACAAUGGGCGCAAGCCUGAUGCAGCGACGCCGCGUGAGGGAUGGAGGCCUUCGGGUUGUGAACCUCUUUCGCUCAUGGUCAAGCCGCAACAAUGGUUGUGGUGAGGGUAGUGGGUAAAGAAGCGCCGGCUAACUACGUG